GAGAGAGAGAGAGAGAGAAGGAGUUGUGGGAGGGCGUUUAGUGUAAAAUUAAGGGGCAGGUCUUGGAAAGCAGCCACAAAGUAACACAAUGUUCCGGCUGUAGCCUACUGUAGCCGUGCCGCUGCUGAUGAGAACACUGUGUUCCAAUAGACACCCUGACCUGUAACCCGUUCCGUGCCGAGCCAGGCCGGGAACAGAACAGUCUGUACCGCAGCAGGCUGUCCUCUCCACUCAGCUUACAACACAUAUCAACACUGUAAUAGCCGAGCCCUAACCACACAGACUGGAUGUGUAAGCACUUAAAUAAAAGCAUAGCCUACUGACCGAUAAACCGUGAGCUGAGACGGAUUACUGUUUCUCUAAACCCCGCGAUUUUUUUAUUUUUGUUUACCGGGGAUUUUGACGCUUAAGUAAAUUUGCCGUUACGUUUCUACAACUUAUGUGAAGGCAUCCGUGUUACGUACAUGUGAGUAAUCUCCAGAGUGAUCCCUUUUAUCCCUGAACUUUUGCCCCCUGAAGCAGGAGUUCUUUACUGCUGUGUCUGCCAUGGACCCUGAAUAAAUGAUUCCUCUCUGCUGCUGAUGAAGAAAGUACCGUGACUAAUAGGACAGACCUUUUUUGUUGUUGUUGUUCAUUUACACGUAAACUUUAAAGGACCAUGUUUUGUCAAUUUCAAAAUUCUGUGCUCAUUUUCUUUCCUUAGACAAUCAGUCAUGAUGAGUUUACUAAAUAGAUAAAGUUGUCAGUAGUGAAAAAAGUAUUCAGAUGAUAAGUUAUCCCUCUGUAUGUUUUGUUUCCCUCUGAGAUGUAGCAAAGUAGAGGCAUGAAGUGGCAGAAAAUUAGAGUAUUCAUUUGGAGAAGUCAAAAGGUUAGCAGUGAAGGUUUUUUUAAACAUUAGCAUUGACAAUAAGUAGCCUUUAUAUCUAACUGUGUUAAUUUGUCCUCUGCAUUAUUGUGGAAGUUUGGUUAUUUAGUAGCCUGUACACUGGAUUACUCUCAUGCCUGUUCUAGUCCUAGAACAAUCUUCAGGCCAAGCUCAAACUUCAGACCCUCAUCUUUUUUUUAAUGAUUUUAAACUUAGAAUAAGAGAAGUGGUCACUGCUAGUAACUGCUUCAUUUAACUAGCAAACACUUGAUCACAUAUUGCUACCUUGUUAAUGCACUGUAUUAUGUAAUGUAUUUUGUUUUUUCUUGCUGCUGUGAUCUGUUGUUGUGCUGGAUGCUGCUAUGUGACCUUGUCUAUAUCACUUGAAAAAUGGGUUUUAAUCUCAAUUUGACUUCCUAGUUAAAUAGACUUUCGGAUGUUUGGCUCCUUUUGUUUUGUCAUUUUGUCAGUUUAUACUCUGGUUCUAAAUAAACAUUAUUAUUAAG
Etheostoma spectabile (orangethroat darter) is the source of this 1371-nucleotide long non-coding RNA. RefSeq lists it as uncharacterized. The transcript is spliced from 2 exons. Lineage: Eukaryota; Metazoa; Chordata; Actinopteri; Perciformes; Percidae. The record is from RefSeq and is a predicted model, not a curated record.